Molecule: ribosomal RNA, 406 nt
Filed under: uncultured bacterium
Lineage: Bacteria
Description: partial 16S ribosomal RNA
Rfam family: Bacterial small subunit ribosomal RNA
Source: RNAcentral
AUUGAACGCUGGCGGCAGGCUUAACACAUGCAAGUCGAGCGAGUGGCGGACGGGUGAGUAAUGUCUGGGAAACUGCCUGAUGGAGGGGGAUAACUACUGGAAACGGUAGCUAAUACCGCAUACCAUAAGAUGUGCCCAGGUGGGAUUAGCUAGUAGGUGGGGGAAAGGCUCACCAAGGCGACGAUCCCUAGCUGGUCUGAGAGGAUGACCAGCCACACUGGAACUGAGACACGGCCCAGACUCCUACGUGAGGCAGCAGUGGGGAAUAUUGCACAAUGGGCGCAAUCCUGAUGCAGCCAUGCCGCGUGUAUGAAGAAGGCCUUCGGGUUGUAAAGCACUUUCAGCGGGGAGGCGUUACUCGCAGAAGAAGCACCGGCUAACUCCGUGCCAGCAGCCGCGGUAAUUC